CGGAGGGAUCAUUAAAGAGUUCUAUAACUCCCAAACCCAUGUGAACAUACCUAACGUUGCCUCGGCAGGUCGCACCUACCUUGUAGCACCCUACCCUGUAGGGCCUACCCGGGAGGUGCGGGUAAGCCUGCCGGCGGCCCACCAAACUCUGUUUGAUAUUGAAUUCUGAACCUAUAACUAAAUAAGUUAAAACUUUCAACAACGGAUCUCUUGGUUCUGGCAUCGAUGAAGAACGCAGCGAAAUGCGAUAAGUAAUGUGAAUUGCAGAAUUCAGUGAAUCAUCGAAUCUUUGAACGCAUAUUGCGCCCAUUAGUAUUCUAGUGGGCAGGACCGUUCGAGCGUCAUUUCAACCCUUAAGCCUUCGUUGCUUAGUGUUGGGAGCCUACGGCAACGUAGCUCCUCAAAGUUAGUGGCGGAGUUGGUUCACACUCUAGACGUAGUAAUUUUUUAUCUCGCCUAUUAGUUGGACUAAUCCCCUGCCGUAAAACCCCUAAUUUAUCAAGGUUGACCUCGAAUCGGUUCAGACAAACUCGCUAAAUUGAAGCAUCUUAGUCAGCGAAGGAAAAGAAACCAACAGGGAUUGCCCUAGUAACGGCGAGUGAAGCGGCAACAGC
This 614-nucleotide ribosomal RNA is filed under the name fungal endophyte. Its description in RNAcentral is "eukaryotic LSU rRNA". The stretch from base 191 to 344 matches the Rfam family "5.8S ribosomal RNA". Lineage: Eukaryota; Fungi. The record is from RNAcentral.